GGUGUGAGUGUACACCCAUUAAGCGCCAUUUUAUAGGCCGCAACCUUAUACCCACCUUAUAGAUCGGCUUCGUGAAUGAGGCCUACUAACGGUAAGACUAGCAUUUAGUUAUACAUAUAUAUAUUAUUCUAGUAAUAUCAUAUUAGUAUAGGGUUGUAUUUUAAAACUUUUAAAAUCUAGGGUUUGAAAUUUAAGUUGUCUAAAUUAAAACUUUUAAUCACAAAAGUAAAUUUCAAAACAUGAGGGUAGGUUUUAAACAUUUAAAACAUGGAGGAUCAAAUAACAAAUAAUUCCAAUUAACAAUUAAUAUCCUAAUUAUCUAUAUUUGAUUUAUUCAAGAUUUCUUUUAAAGAUAAUUACCAAAAUAAUCAAAAUAAUUAAUUAAUUAUCAUAUAAGGAAAUUAAAUAUUUAAUUAGUUGAUAAUUACCUUUAACUAGAUCAAGAUAAUAGUUAUAUUUAUCAGAAAAACGAAUUAAUGUUGAUCUAAUUAGUUUAUGGUAAGUUAAGAUAAGAUAAACACAAAGAAAUCCCGAAUCUGGCCAUUCCUGACGCCUGGACUCGCCGAGUGCACAAAUGGACUCGCCGAGUCAGGCCUACUCGCCGAGUCCACUUUGAGACUCGCCGAGUCCAUGACUCAGAAACCAAAAAUUCGAAUUUUGCAGGUUUGUUUCAGUUAAUCAAGCAACAAUUUACAGAAAACCAAGCUAGGCUCUGAUACCACUGAUGGGUUUUAGCCAUAAGAACUUUCCUAUGUGCGCAUGCAAAACCCUAAUGCUUGGAUCUAGGCUUUCUAAUAAACAUGCUUUGAAUCCAAGACUUCUAAUUACUAAUUAGGUUAAACAAGAACAUUAAAACAGAUCUAGAAUCAUACCUUUGAGUUCCUUGUUGAUCUUGAGGUCUUGGAGCUUCUAGAGUCACAAAUGUCACUCCUCUAAUGGCUUACAAACACCAAAGCAAGGAGGAUGAUUUGGGAGAGAGGAGAGGGGAGGAAUUUCGACCAGAGGUUCCUUACUUUAGGUCAAGUGUCGAAUUCCAUCAGCCAUGGGGUCUAUUUAUACUUGUAGACUCCUUAAGGAUUACAGAUAAGUCCCUAUCAGAUAAUCUUCUCUUAAGGCUAUCCAAAUCCAUUCCUAGAUAACUCUAAUGGACGAUUUUAGCUAUCCUAAUCCUCUUAGAAUUCGUCCAUAGUAUAUCCAAAUGGAUUUACAGUUUAAAGCUUAACUAUCAAACAAUUGACAGUUUAUACCCCUUUAUUUAAUUAAUCUCUUUAAGUCACCAAAUUAAUUCUAAUUAAUUCUAUGACUUAUAUUAAUCAAAUAACAAAUAUAUUAUUCAUUAUAUUAUUCCCAUAAUAUAUUAAUAAUAUUUACUCUCUCUUAAUAAAUCAUCCUAUCAAGUUGCUAUGGUGAAGGCAACCCAAAAGGACCAUGCACAACCGGAUAUAGUUACAGCCUUAGACACUAUUCCAACAGUCUCCCACUUGGAUAAGUCUAGUAACUAUACAAGUACAAUUCGGUUUGCAAUCGUAGCUCUCAAAGACGCUGUCAACUCUGAUCUAAUCAAUCUUGUCCUUUAGAUAAGGGAACGUACAGUCCUCUGUUAGAUAUCAUGCUGACAAUCCUAUGGAAUGGUUAGUCAAGCAUUUAGGUUUCUCGAUCUCUGAUUUAUUUGACAUAGAACUUAAUCGAACACAUCAAUUCAGUUCUGACCGGGCCCGGCACAUAAGUCAAAUCAAAUCAUCGAGCGGCCGAGAUAUCGCUUUUACCUUCUUAGAUAAAAGUUACAGAUAAACUUCGACUUAUAUGCAUUUACUUAUUCAUUAACCAACUAUACACAACAAUACGUUUUAUAACACCAAGUUACUGAUGCGUUUUCGUAUUAUCAAUGUACAAUCAAUUAACAAAUAAUAAACCAUAUAUCUAGGUUUUAAGACUAUAUGAUAUUAUCGUCUUGCGAUCACCUUUUAUAUCGUAUUCCAUAAGGUGAUUCCAGCAAGCGCGGGUUUAUUCCAAUGCUCAAAACUAGUUCAUAAGCACUCAUGAACGUUGCAGCAAUCCUUUGCUAUGUCUAACACCAUUUAGACAUUCUACACACCAAUUCAUGACAAUCUUCUUUCAUAUCUACUCCCAACAUAUGAACGAUUGUGGACCAUUUGAAUAAUUCGAUUAUUCCUAAUAAACUCAAUUAUUCUGGAAGUCAAAACAUGCAAAGUGAAACAAUAGCUAAACAAUUAACAUAAGAUAGUAACAUUACUCAUAAAUAAAACUCCUUUAUUUAAUCAUCAAAUGUCAAUUACAUUUAUCUAUUACACGUUUCUAAUACUAUCUAAUCUAUGCUAAUAUCAUCCUUCAGCCCAAUACUCCUAGCAUGCUGCAAGUGCUUAACCCUACUCAGUCCCUUCGUAAGCGGAUCUGCUGGGUUAUCUUCUGAUGAUAUCCUCUUCACUACGAGUUGUCCUUCUUCUACACGAUGUCUAAUGAAGUGAUACUUUCUGUCGAUAUGUCUUGAUCUACCAUGAUCCCUCGGUUCCUUGGUUAAGGCAACCGCACCUUCGUUAUCACAGAAAAUCUCCAUUGGCUCCUUUAUGGCAGGUACGACUCCAAGAUCACCGAUGAAGUUCUUUAGCCAUAUUGCCUCCUUCGACGCUUCGCUCGCUGCAAUGUACUCUGAUUCGCACGUUGAAUCAGCUACGGUUUCCUGCUUGGAACUCUUCCAUGUCACUGCUCCUCCAUUUAGGGUAAAGACCCAGCCCGACUGCGAACGGUAGUUGUCCCUGUCGGUCUGAAAACUGGCGUCACUAUACCCUCGCACCUUCAAGUCAUCACUCCCUCCGAGGACUAAGAACCAUUCCUUCGUCCUCCGAAGGUACUUAAGGAUAUUCUUCACCGCAAUCCAAUGUGCUUUGCCAGGAUUCCCUUGAUAUCUGCUAACCAUGCUCAAAGCGAAGGCUACAUCAGGGCGAGUACAAGUCAUAGCGUACAUGAUUGAGCCAACUGCGGAAGCGUAUGGUACUCGGCUCAUUUCUGCUAUCUCAGCUUCGGUACUCGGACUUUGAGUCUUACUCAAUUUGGCAUUACUUUGUAUCGGUAGUUCUCCCUUCUUUGAGUUUUCCAUACUAAAACGUUUUAGUACCUUCUCUAAGUAAGUAUUCUGACUAAGUCCAAUUAGUCUCUUACUUCUUUCUCUUACUAUCCUUAUUCCCAAAAUGUAAGAAGCCUCUCCGAGGUCCUUCAUAGCGAAGCACUUCCCGAGCCAGGACUUAACCUCCUGCAGAGUCGGGAUGUCGUUUCCUAUGAGUAAUAUGUCAUCGACAUAUAGAACGAGGAAGCUUACUAUACUCCCACUGGCUUUGACAUAUACACAAGAUUCGUCUUCGCUUCGUACAAAUCCAAACUCUUUGACUUUCUCAUCGAAGCAAAGAUUCCAUCUGCGAGACGCUUGCUUAAGUCCAUAAAUGGACUUCUCAAGCUUACACACUCUAUUCGGAUGCUUCGGAUCCACAAACCCCUCUGGCUGAGCCAUGUAAACAUCCUCAGCCAACUUUCCGUUAAGGAAAGCGGUCUUGACAUCCAUUUGCCAAAUCUCAUAAUCAUGAAAUGCGGCAAUUGCUAGCAUCACUCUAAUAGAUUUAAUCUUCGCAACUGGUGAGAAGGUCUCAUCAUAGUCAACUCCGGGAGUUUGAGUAAAGCCCUUCGCAACCAAUCGCGCUUUAUAUGUGUGUACGUUUCCAUCCACGUCGGUCUUCUUCUUGAAGAUCCAUUUGCACCCAACGGUCUUACGUCCGGGCACAUAAUCAACCAAAUUCCAAACUUGGUUAUCAUACAUGGAUUGGAUCUCGCUAUCCAUUGCCUCUUUCCAUUUUGCAGACUCCGGGCCUGCCAUGGCUUCCUUAUAGCUAUUAGGUUCAUCAAGAUUUAUUAGUGUACCAUCACUAAUAUACGUGUCCCCUUCGGUAGUAAUAUGAAAACCAUAAAACUGGGGUUGAACUCUAACUCUAUCGGAACGUCUAAGAGGUAAGGAUUCGUCAAUCGGUUCAACCGGAGUUUCCUCCUCGGGUUGAGUGCCAGCGGUAGAGGUUCCUUCAUCUAUCGACUCUUGAAUCUCUUCAAGCUCGAUUUGCCUCCCACUGUCUCCUUGGCUUAUGAGUUCUCGCUCUCGGAAAACUCCUCUCCUCGCAACGAAGACAACAUUGUCCUUCGGUCUAUAGAAGAGAUAUCCAAAGGAUGUCUGCGGGUAGCCGAUGAAAAUACAUCGCUCACUUCGAGGUUCAAGCUUGUCGUGAGUAUCUCGUCUUACGAAAGCCUCGCAACCCCAAACCUUGAUAUGUGCCAACGAGGGAGCUUUCCCUGUCCACAUCUCGUGAGGUGUUUUGGCAACCUUCUUAGUAGGGACUCGGUUAAGGAUAUGGGCGGCAGUCUCUAAGGCAUACCCCCAAAAAGAGAUAGGUAGUGAAGCACGACUCAUCAUAGAGCGAACCAUAUCCAAUAAGGUUCGAUUACGCCUUUCUGCCACACCAUUCAACUGCGGUGUCCUAGGAGGCGUCAAUUGCGAAACUAUUCCACACUCCUUGAGAUAAUCGUGGAAUUCAAGACUUAGGUACUCUCCUCCUCGAUCGGAUCGAAGCAUCUUGAUUUUCCUGCCCAAUUGAUUCUCCACUUCAUUCUUGAACUCUUUGAACUUUUCAAAGGUGUCUGACUUUUGCUUGAUUAAGUAGAUAUACCCAUAUCUACUAUAGUCAUCGGUAAAAGUCACAUAGAAGCGGUUCCCAUCCUUCGUGGUUGAUCUAAACGGUCCACAUACAUCGGUAUGUAUUAGGUCCAAUAGACCCUCGCCCCUUUCACAUGUACUCGUGAAGGGUGACUUAGUCAUCUUUCCAAGCAAACAAGACUCGCAUGUGUCAUCUUCCCUAAGGUCGAAUGACUCCAACACUCCAUCCUUUUGGAGUUGGGCUAUGCGUUUCUUGUUGACAUGUCCAAGACGACAAUGCCACAAGGAUGCUUUAUCCAUACUAGUGGAAGAAUCAAUAUUCAAAACAUCAUUUCCUAAGUUAUCAACAAUCAUAACGGUUUCAUAUAUUCCAUUACAUGGUAUAGCUUCAAAGUAAAAGACACCAUUUAGAUAAGCCAAAAUAGAACCAUUCUCAUUAUUAAAAGAAAAUCUAAAUCCUUGUCUAUAUAAACCAUGAAAUGAAAUGAUGUUUCUUGCCAUUUCUGGCGAAUAGCAACAAUUGUUCAAAUCUAAAACUAAACUAUUCCUAAGCACUAAGGAAUACACUCCAAUCUUGGUCACAGGCGACGAUCUUCUGUUCCCCAUGAUUAGAUUGAUCCUUCCUUGCUCCACAUCCCUACUUCUUCUUAGUCCCUGCACAUUAGAACAAAUGUGAUAACCACAACCGGUAUCAAGAACCCAAGAAAUAGCAUGAUUAGAAUCGUUAGAUUUGAUUGUAUAUAUACCUGCGAAAGAUGGCUUGAUCUUUCCUUCUUUGAUUGCUUGCAGGUAAUCCGGGCAGCUUCUCUUCCAAUGUCCUAUCUUGUGGCAGUGGUGGCACUCUGCCUCCUUCGGGUUAGAGCAGGGCUUGGCGGGAUCAACUUUGGUCCCACUAGAAGAGGCACCAUCUCGGGCUUUAACCUUGCGAUAGUUCUUAGACGAAGCCUUCCUCUUCUUUCCCUUUCCUUGACCAAUAGCCAAGACAGGAGCAGCGGGUGGAUUGGGAGUUGGUGCAACAGACUUGUCUUUGAAGUUGCUCUCAGCGACCCUCAAGAGACCUUGGAGUUUGCUUAGGGUGACCUCCUCUUUGUUCAUGUGGUAGGUCAUCCUAAAUUGAUUGUACAUCGGAGGCAAAGAGUGAAGCACCAUGUCGAUCACCAAGUCUUCCCCAAAGUCAACAUUUAACUUGCGAAGGCGGUCGACAUACCUUUGCAAUAAGUCUUGAUGCAUCUCGUACGGGUACAUGUCUUGAUGCAUCUCGCGUUCUGGUGGUAUCUCUCCAAUAAGUCUGGAUGCAUCUCGUACUGGUACAUGUCCUCGUAGGACUUUUGGAAUUCGGAGUUCAUGGUGGCUAUCAUGAUGCAAUGUACCUUCGUUGCAUCGCGCUCAUGAGUUUCAAAAGCGGUCAUUUCAGCCGGAGUAGCGAUUUCAGGGUUGAUUUUCUCGAGCUUCUCAUCGAGGACAUACUCCUUAUCCUCAUAGCGAGCAAUGGUGCGAAUGUAUCUUAUCCAUUCGCUAAAGUUCGUCCCAUCGAAAGUGACCUUUUGACAAAGGCUCAUCAAUGUGAAAGAACUAGCAGCAGCGUUGUUUGCGUUCGACAUCUACAAAUAGAAAGGACAAAGAUAGAUUAGAAUAUGAAUCCCUAAUUAUCACCCAAUAAGAAAAAUUAGGGCUAGGAUCCAACAACAAUAUUUACAUAUUAGAAAAGGGAUGCCGUAAUCUAACAUGCAAAUAAUAUGAAGGUAAGUGAAUGACGAUUCACUAAUUCUCCACCAUAAAAAACUAACUAUAAGUCCUAAAUUUUUUGAGAAUUCCUAGGUUCGGAUGAGAUUCAUUGAAACUAUUCAAUGGCAUGUUUAAAUCUCGAUAUGCCCCUCUUGUUUGUGACUGGGAUACCGAGGAUCACAAAGCGGGUGUGAAUUACCAUGCAAAUUCACAUGGUGCCUUCAUUGUAACAAUCACCUAUUCGACAUGUCGGUAAACCACACACGCUCCAUCGAACUAUGAUAAACAAUGAAUCACCCUUUGCCACCUUUGCUUAGAACCAAUUAGUGUGCCGGUAAACCACACACGCUCCACUAACUUCUUAGCAAGGGUGCAAAGUGUAAUUUCAUGGGAUUGCAUCAAUUCACUUUUCCUAAAGUAACUAAGAUUGGGAAAUUUUAAAAUAUGUGUAGUUACUUUGUAUUACUUAUUAUACUUUUAAUGAGAGGAUGAGGUUGCCCUAUCCUACCCGUUCGGCUAACGACCCUCCACCGAUCAAGCAAGCGGUGGGUGUGAGUGUACACCCAUUAAGCGCCAUUUUAUAGGCCGCAACCUUAUACCCACCUUAUAGAUCGGCUUCGUGAAUGAGGCCUACUAACGGUAAGACUAGCAUUUUAGUUAUACAUAUAUAUACAUAUUAUUCUUGUAAUAUUAUAUUAGUAUAGGGUUGUAUUUUAAACUUUUUAAAAUCUAGGGUUUGAAAUUUAAAUUGUCUAAAUUAAAACUUUUAAUCACAAAAUAUAAAUUUCAAAACUUGAGGACAAGUUUUAAACAUUUAAAACAUGGAGGAUCAAAUAACAAAUAAUUUUAAUUAACAAUUAAUUUCCUAAUUAUCUAUAUUUGAUUUAUUCAAGAUUUCUUUCAAGAUAA
RNAcentral lists this long non-coding RNA (7342 nucleotides) under Lactuca sativa (garden lettuce). RNAcentral's name for it is "long non-coding RNA (LSAT_LNC002480)". The record is from RNAcentral. Lineage: Eukaryota; Viridiplantae; Streptophyta; Magnoliopsida; Asterales; Asteraceae.